Molecule: long non-coding RNA, 5681 nt
Organism: Chelonia mydas (Green sea turtle)
Lineage: Eukaryota; Metazoa; Chordata; Testudines; Cheloniidae
Exons: 5
Source: RefSeq, a predicted model, not a curated record
CCGUCGGAUGCGGCAAACCCAUCGCCACCUCCAGCCUGUGUCCGUCCCCCCCUCCCCGGGCACGGAGGAGACACGCGCCAGCAGCAGUCCCCGCCUCCAGCCAUGCGUGCAGCCGGAGGCGGCGCGCUGCGGCUCGAUCGGGGCGAGGGAGCACUUCGGGUCACCGGCGUGUCCGCCGCCGGCAGCACUGAGGACACGGAGACGCGGAACCACGGGCCGGAGACGCGCCCGUGCAGCCGCACCGCCCGCCCGGGGCACCGGGCCACCGCGUGCAGCAAACCCCCAGUCCGCGGGAGCUGCGCCUCCCUGCUCAGCCCCACACGGAUGCGCCGCUCCAGGUCAACCCGUCGGUGCAGACGUGGGAGUAUGUUCCUCCCGCCGGAGGGACACACGGGACACGCGACCUGUCCAAAUACAGGACCGCGCUUGAUUUCUCGGGAAACGCCGUUCCCCGGAGCCUGGCCGGUAUUCGCGUCUCCGGUGCCCGUUCCCACUGCUCUCCAGUGCAAUCGUCCUACGCCCCCGUGUACUCUCGCGAACAGCGCCCACGAUCCGCUUUCAAAUACGGGGUGAUGCUCACCCGAAGGGAUAAAUCAAUGACACCGAGGGGAGCCCCCCCGGCAUCCCACUCACACCGUCUAGGAAGGCGUGUGGCGCACGCAGCUCCCCCCACGCCCACCAACUCCCGCAAACACACCGCAAGUGAAAUACACCCGUGGUGCAUCAGCGCGCGUAGAGCCUGGCUCUGCUCUACGUAGGAUGCUCUUGGCCUGUGGAUUAUUACUACAGUAAAAUGCUCUGUGCCUGAGAUUUUUUUAGUCCCUAUGGCAGCUCUGGACAACAAUUCACGUUAAAAUUAAUGGGAACUGAAUGUCAAACGCCCUUUUGAAGAUCUUAGCAAAAUCGAUACAUGAGCAUCUGGCACCAAACCCCACGUAUGUGUGUGCCCCAAGCCUUCUGGACGCAUGAGUCAGGCUCUAAACAUAGCAGCUGCUGGGCCUUGUGUCUCUGAUGGGUCAACCCAAAGCCCCAGAGCUAAAUGCUCUAGACUUUUGGAAGAACUUGGACCUGAAUUUGGCAGUUUGGGCCCAUUUUCGGUAAAAUCUCUCCUAUUAAUAUCCACUGUACAGAAAUAAAGAUUAACAGUGAUUUAUUUUUGAGAAUGCUGGCUCCCAAAGGACGACUCCUAUUCUUAUUCCCAAAGAAGCUUAUGUAACAUCCAUGUUUCCUGGUCUGAAGUUUGGAGAGGAAACCAGAUUCACUUCUCCAUGAUGUGGCACAAAAAGUGCAGCGUAUAGACUGGGUAUGUCAGAGCAAUCUGAUGAUAAUAUGCAAGAUCUCACUGACUCAGAGAGGGACUUGAUAUAUUUAUCAUUACAAUGUCUCUGGACUUAGUAUGCAUGCCAGAUGAGGUCAGUGUGUAUUGAGAGUAUUAUGCAAAAGAUGCCCAAAGCUUAAUGGCUUGAAUGGCCCAUAUCACACUCCAAAGAGAGCUACUUCCAGGCCAAUGAGGAGAGUUACAAGAAAAAUAGUGGGCAUUCACUGGUAGCUACACUGGGAUGUAACUACAGAUUCAGCACACGGAUCACUUGAUCAUUACCUGUUCUGUUCAUUCCUUCUGAAGCACCUGGCAUAGGCCACUGUCCGAAGACAGGACACUGGGCUAGAUGGGCCUUCGGUCUGACCCAGUAUGGCCGUUCGUAUGUUGUUCUUAUUGGGAAUUACAUCAGAUGCUGUUAUAAAAUACUGUACCUAAAACCACUGUACUUUCCCCCUGGGACGCAUGGGAAAUGACUGAAAGCAAUAUAAUGAAGCUGAAGGAAAAGAAGGCAGGGUUUCAGUUUUUUAAAGUUGAUGACAAAGGCAUGAUCAGAAUACAGGCCAAGGAGCUAGGACCUGAGGUCUAGAUUCAACCAGGUACUUAAGAGUGUGCUUAAAAUUAAACACACACUUAUGUACUACUGAAGUGUUAAGCAGCUGCUUAGGUGCUUGGCUGAAUUGGUGCCCAAGGCCCAGCUCCUCAAAGCUAUUUAGGUACUUAAAAUCUUUUGAAAAUCUGGGCCCAAAUUCCUGAGCUCCAAUAACAACUCACUGUGUGGCCUUGGAGAGUCACCUACCUUCUGUAGGACCCUCUGUAGGGCUUGCUGAGGUCAGUGGGAGUUUUGCCACUGACCUCAAUGAGAAGAGGAUGGAGUUGAGCGUGCCUCAGUUUCCUGAUCUAUAAAAAGUGCAUAACUUAUUACCUAUCACCUAAUGUUUAUAAAUAAUCAUCAAGGUGCUAAAUGUUUUAUAUCACAAUAGUAAUAAAGGUGUCUUUUGUUCCAUUUCUGUAACAAAUGAACCAGUGUUUCCAGUACAUACAUACAUGUAUGUAUGGUUUAGUUUCUUUAAAAAAAAAAAAAAAUUAAAAAAAAGCAGCCAGACCCUUUGGAAAACCAGAACUUGUCUGCCACCUCCUAUCAGAAUCUGGGACUUUCAAAAGCACGAGAGACGAUGGCCAUUUCAUUGUCUUGGGACCUGUUUAUGAAGCUAUUUUCACUGCCAACAAUUCUCUCUUGCUGGACUUUGGAAAAACCUGUGAAAAAUCACAGAUGGGAAAAUUUUGUGGAGUAGGAGGUUUUGCGAACAUUGGGAAAUAUUUGCAUUAGGGUUUGCAAAACUAGUGGAAGUCCGCAAGGAAACCAGCACUCUGCAUUAGCAAAUCAUACCCCAUCCCACAAGCCAGGCUGGUACAAGUGGGUGGCAUGUACAGGAGUUAUAAACUGUCUCCUCUUAGAUUCUGUCUCUUUCCCUGCCAAAACUUCAUGUUUCUCUGUCUUGUUUGUUUCUCCAACCUUCACAGAUUUUAAGGCCAGAAGGGACUGUUAGAUCAUCUAGUCUGUCCUCAUCCAUCACACAGGCCAGAGAAAUUCACCCAGUGAUUCCUACAGUGGAGUGCCAGCUGUGAGCUGUGUUCACUGGGAACUGGACUGAGACAGAGAGUUCAUUUUACAAGGAUUCCUGACAGUCCUCAAUCUUCCUAGUCUCACCAACGGCUCCUGUCAUGCUGUGUUCUCCAAGCAGGGAUAUGGCAGCUCAGCACACAUGGCGUCACCACCACAUGGCCAGUCAGUGCAAGGCAUGGUGCAAAGGAGAGGAUGACCAGAAAGCAGCCCUGCCCCCUGACUCAGGCAGGCAACCAACCGUGAACUCCACCGUCCAGCACAACAGACCUGCCCUGGGGAGUUAGGCAUCAGGAGCCUCAUGGUGAGGGCAGGGGAGGCAAGGCAAUGGGAGAUGCUGCAGCUAGGGAGCAAGAUGGAGCUUCCCAGCGGGCGUGAUCAGAAGGGGGAGUACCAGGCCGGAGCCUCAUGGAGUUAUCCAGGAGGGGAGGGACUGGGUGGUGCUGGAAAACCAAGGGACUGAAAUUAACUGGCACCCCCUGCAGGCAAUUCACUCACACCCUCAGCCAGCACUGGAGAAGCAGCCACUGUAUGAGUAGCUGGUUUCUCCCUGCCAAGGCUGCUAUGAAUUUCCAUGCCACCUGUGCUGGUUAUUUUCUGCCAGAUUAAGACACCCAGCAGCCACACUAAACAACAGCAUCUUCCACCUGGCUCCUGCUUCCCCGCUGAAGUAAGGCAAGGAGUGGACUCUGGAGCCGACCUGGACGGCACGUGCAGAGGUACUAUACGUCUGCUACAAAAUGACAGCAAUCAGCAAGGUAAAGUAAGUCUGACGGGGCAGCGACGUAUUGACAUGCAGUAUCAAAUCCCACUGUUUGUGCCCUGUCUGCACAUGGGAGUGCAUUCACCAGGUCUGGAAUGUCUGUGGGAUCUGUGGGAGACUGGAUCAGAGGCAUGACAGAACGAUCCCAUCAAUCAGCGGCUCACUCCGUUCCUGUCAGCAGCAGGAAACCCAGCCAGCAAGAGCCACCAACAGCAGCAGCGGGAAAUAAACAGAGCAACAGCCAGCUGCACUUGUUGCUGACGGGGAGCAGGGAGGGAGAAGCUGCAGAAAACAAGAUACAAUUGUGAAGGUGAAAAGAGGGAUCGGAUGUUUACAUGGAUAGCCAGAAUAUCCAGCAUUAUAAUAGCUACCGCUAACAAAAAGAGGGAGAGAAAACCUCAUGCUUUCGGGUUUAAACCAAACUCUAUUAGAGAUUAGGAUGAGACCUUCAUGGAGGGCAGAUUAUCCCGCAUGUGCCAACUGCGGGGUUGCUUGCACCUUCCUCUGAAUCAGCUGGGGUUGGCCACUGUCAGAGACGCUGGACUAGAUGGACCGAGGGUCUGACACAGCCUGGCUACCAAUGGGUAAAUUUCCACCCGUUGGCUUCAGAAGCAGCAGCUGGAGAUUCAGGAGAAGAGUGGUAAAUCCACAGAGGGACACAAAGGAAAGGAAGUCAACAGAGGGAGAGGGAAUGGAAAUGAACUGCCCAGAGAAAGAAGAAAUCUAAAGGAGGCGGAGAGGUUGACAAAAGAAAGGAGGAGGAAAAGAACUCAAAGAUGUGGCGAAGGGAGAAAGGGAAACCACAAUUAGAGGGAGACAAUCACUAGAAGGGGCUUCAAUGCAGUUCCACGUGGAGAAACAUCCAUUCAUCUCUCUGCCACACAAACACACCACUAUCGGCCCCAUUCUUGGCAGUCUCAGAGAAGUUUAGGAUGGAAUGGACCAAGGACAAUGGGCCCCAAUGGUUGGGCUUCAGGGAGUAGUGGGGGGAGUUUAUCUGCGCUGCCCCAUCUGAGCAUUAACAGAAGUUUCAGAGUCUAGGGUUUCACAUCUAAAUUCUCAUGGGAAAAAACAAAGGAAAGUGAGAAAAGAUGAUAAUUAAAAAAAACCCUUCAGGGUCAGAAAGGAGAAGAGGUUUAUUGCUCCCAAGUGAGCAGCACUGGGAAGGCCAGAAUAGCAUUUGCAUCUUCAUGAUCCAUCUUAGACUCAGCAACACUGAAAAAAACCCAGCCCAACAGUUAAGAUCCAUCUCUUCAGUGCCAGUAAUUUCUGAAAUACAGACGCCAGACCUAUCAGAUUGCACACACUGAACAUAACAGGAUAGAUAGAGAAAAAAAGGCAGCAGAAUUUAGUAACUGUGGUCUAGUGGUUAGAAUAGGGGGCUGGGAGCCAGGAAUUCCAGAGUCCUGAUCCUGGAUGUUACAGACUUCUGUGGCCUUGGAUAAGUCACUUAAACUCUCUGUGCCUCAGUUUUCCCUCAUCUGUAAACUCAAGCUAAUAAGCCUUCCCUUCCUCACAGGGGAUUUGUAAGACUAAUUGAACUAAUGUUUGUAAAAAAUUUGAAGAUAGAAAUGCAGAGUACUAUUACAUAUUUAAAAUUACUGUCCAGGGACUUAGCAACUCAAACACUAGCACUCCUAGGGGAAAAAAAAGGAAAAAGACAAAGGCGUGGGGGGGAACAAAAACUACUCACUGAUUUGUGAUAAGCCCACUGUCUGGUCAGCUAGUGCACAUCCGACAGAUGCCAUAGGGUUAGAAAUACCAUAGAUAAAAUAUGAGCUGUAUUGUCUGUCUUUGUAGAUCAGGGAUCGGCAACCUUUGGCAUGUCGCCCAUCAGCAAAACCCGCUCGUGGGCCGAGACGUUUGUUUACCUGUAGCGUCUGCAGGUUUGGCCAGUUGCAGCUCCUGCUGGCCGUGGUUCACCGUUCCAGGCCAAUGGGGGCUGCGGGAAGCGGCGACCAGCACAUCCCUCAGCC